GGGCCUGUGGCGGAAUUGGCAGACGCGCAGCCUUGAGGUGGCUGUGUCCGCAAGGACGUGGAGGUUCAACCCCUCUCGGGCCCACCA
RNAcentral lists this transfer RNA (87 nucleotides) under uncultured archaeon. Its description in RNAcentral is "tRNA-Leu(gag)". It matches the Rfam family "tRNA". Rfam says of the family: Transfer RNA (tRNA) molecules are approximately 80 nucleotides in length. The record is from RNAcentral.